This 1903-nucleotide ribosomal RNA is filed under the name feces metagenome. RNAcentral describes it as "bacterial LSU rRNA". It matches the Rfam family "Bacterial large subunit ribosomal RNA", at positions 1 to 2017 of the family's 2925-position model. The record is from RNAcentral.
UCAAGUGUGAGGUAAGGGCAAUUCGUGGAUGCCUUGGCGCAUACAGGCGAUGAAGGACGUGGCACGCUGCGAUAAGCGUCGGUGAGGUGUGAGCAACCUUUGACCCGACGAUUUCCGAAUGGGGAAACCCACCUAAUCCGAUUAUCUUGAGCGUGAGUAAUCACGGUCAGGGUAAUUGGAAAAAGGUAUCACUUAGCUGAAUAAAAUAGGCUUCGUGAAGCGAACCCGGCGAACUGAAACAUCUCAGUAACCGGAGGAAAAGACAUCAACCGAGAUUCCGUUAGUAGUGGCGAGCGAACGCGGACCAGGCCAGUGCUUCUAAUUCAACUAGCAGAACGUUCUGGAAAGGACGGCCAUAGCGGGUGACAGCCCCGUAUGCGAAAGUGAUGUUAGAAGACUUGAGUAGGGCGGGACACGUGUAAUCCUGUCUGAAUAUAGGGGGACCACCCUCUAAGCCUAAAUACUCGUAUGCGACCGAUAGCGAACUAGUACCGUGAGGGAAAGGUGAAAAGCACCCCGAUGAGGGGAGUGAAACAGUACCUGAAACGGAUUGCCUACAAGCAGUUGGAGCCUCUUCAUGGGGUGACAGCGUACCUCUUGCAUAAUGGGUCUGUGACUUAAUGUACCAAGCAAGCUUAAGCCGAUAGGUGUAGGCGCAGCGAAAGCGAGUCUGAAUAGGGCGAAUGAGUUUGGUGUAUUAGACCCGAAACCCGGCGAUCUAGGCAUGACCAGGAUGAAGGUGCGGUAACACGCACUGGAGGUCCGAACCGAUUAACGUUGAAAAGUUACCGGAUGAGUUGUGUUUAGGGGUGAAAGGCCAAUCAAGCCGGGAAAUAGCUGGUUCUCCGCGAAAACUAUUGAGGUAGUGCCUCGGACGAACACCCUAGGGGGUAGAGCACUGGAUGGAUGCGGGGGUCGCGAGAUCUACCAAUUCUAACCAAACUCCGAAUACCUAGGAGUGAUAUCCGGGAGACAGACGGCGGGUGCUAAGGUCCGUCGUCAAAAGGGAAACAGCCCUGACCUACAGCUAAGGUCCCCAAGUCACGUCUAAGUGGGAAAGCAUGUGGGAAUCCCAAAACAACCAGGAGGUUGGCUUAGAAGCAGCCAUCCUUUAAAGAAAGCGUAACAGCUCACUGGUCUAAAUAAGGGUUCCUGCGGCGAAGAUGUAACGGGGCUCAAGACGUGCACCGAAGCUUAGGGUGUGAUCGUUUACGAUCACGCGGUAGCGGAGCGUUCCGUAAGCCUGUGAAGCGAUCUGGUAAUGGGUCGUGGAGGUAUCGGAAGUGCGAAUGCAGACAUGAGUAGCGAUAAAAAGGGUGAGAUGCCCUUUCGCCGAAAGACCAAGGGUUCCUGCGCAAGGCUAAUCCGCGCAGGGUGAGCCGGCCCCUAAGACGAGCCCGAAGGGGGUAGUCGAUGGGAACCACGUUAAUAUUCGUGGGCCUGGUGGUGUGUGACGGAUGGUGUGUGUUGUAUGCUCUUAUCGGAUUGAGCAUGCUUCGAAGCUGUCCCGGGAAAUAGCCCCACCGUAUAGACCGUACCCGAAACCGACACAGGUGGUCAGGUAGAGUAUACCAAGGCGCUUGAGAGAAGUGUCCUGAAGGAACUCGGCAAAUUGCCUCCGUACCUUCGGAAGAAGGAGGCCCUCACAUUGCGCAAGCAGUAUGAGGGGGCACAGGCCAGGGGGUAGCGACUGUUUAGCAAAAACACAGGGCUCUGCUAAGUCGGCUUCAAGACGACGUAUAGGGCCUGACGCCUGCCCGGUGCCUGAAGGUUAAGUGGAGGGGUGCAAGCUCCGAAAUGAAGCCCAGGUAAACGGCGGCCGUAACUAUAACGGUCCUAAGGUAGCGAAAUUCCUUGUCGGGUAAGUUCCGACCUGCACGAAUGGCGUAACGACUUCCCCACU